GUGUUGCAAGGAAUGUCGUUUUAAGAUCCAAUAGAAUCGCCGCGCUGAGCGAUGUCAGGGCAAGGUCAUGUCAAUAAAGCGAUUCUAUUCGUUCCCAAAAACACAUCCCUCGCAACACAUCUCUGGUGGAAACACAGCCU
Aricia agestis (brown argus) is the source of this 140-nucleotide long non-coding RNA. RefSeq lists it as uncharacterized. The record is from RefSeq and is a predicted model, not a curated record. The transcript has 3 exons. Lineage: Eukaryota; Metazoa; Arthropoda; Insecta; Lepidoptera; Lycaenidae.